AUGGGCGAAAGCCUGAUCUAGCCAUGCCGCGUGUGUGAAGAAGGCCUUUUGGUUGUAAAGCACUUUAAGCGAGGAGGAGGCUACUUAGAUUAAUACUCUAGGAUAGUGGACGUUACUCGCAGAAUAAGCACCGGCUAACUCUGUGCCAGCAGCCGCGGUAAU
This 162-nucleotide ribosomal RNA is filed under the name uncultured Acinetobacter sp. Its description in RNAcentral is "partial 16S ribosomal RNA". It matches the Rfam family "Bacterial small subunit ribosomal RNA", at positions 371 to 524 of the family's 1533-position model. Lineage: Bacteria; Pseudomonadati; Pseudomonadota; Gammaproteobacteria; Moraxellales; Moraxellaceae. The record is from RNAcentral.